This 696-nucleotide ribosomal RNA is filed under the name Sebacina guayanensis. RNAcentral's name for it is "eukaryotic LSU rRNA". The stretch from base 317 to 696 matches the Rfam family "Eukaryotic large subunit ribosomal RNA", at positions 1 to 376 of the family's 3401-position model. The record is from RNAcentral. Lineage: Eukaryota; Fungi; Basidiomycota; Agaricomycetes; Sebacinales; Sebacinaceae.
CAGCGAAAUGCGAUAAGUAAUGUGAAUUGCAGAAUUCAGUGAAUCAUCGAAUCUUUGAACGCACCUUGCACCCUUUGGAAUUCCGAAGGGUAUGCUCGUUUGAGUGUCAUUGUACUCUCACACUCUUCAAUCAGUUGGAUUUGGGGAGUGGUGGACUUGGGUGUUGCCGCUUUACUGUGGCUCACCUUAAAUGCUUUAGUGCAACUCUUAGUUAGACAUAGUACGGCGUGAUAAGUAUCUUCGCCGGCACCUUGCAUGAGGGUGGCUAAUUGAGAGCGCUGUGCUUCAAACUGUCUUCGGACAAUCUCUGACAACUUGGCCUCAAAUCGAGUAGGACUACCCGCUGAACUUAAGCAUAUCAAUAAGCGGAGGAAAAGAAACUAACAAGGAUUCCCCUAGUAACGGCGAGUGAAGAGGGAAGAGCUCAAAUUUUGAAUCUGGCGUCUUUGGCGUCCGAAUUGUAAUCUAGAGAAGUGUUUUCCGUGGCGGACCGUGCACAAGUCUCCUGGAAUGGAGCGUCAUGGAGGGUGAGAAUCCCGUAUAUGGCACGGACUCCCGUUGCUCUUUGAUACACUCUCGACGAGUCGAGUUGUUUGGGAAUGCAGCUCCAAAUGGGUGGUAAAUGCCAUCUAAAGCUAAAUAUUGGCGAGAGACCGAUAGCGAACAAGUACCGUGAGGGAAAGAUGAAAAGCACUU